GGAUUGAACGCUGGCGGCAGGCCUAACACAUGCAAGUCGAGCGGCAGCACGGGUACUUGUACCUGGUGGCGAGCGGCGGACGGGUGAGUAAUGCCUAGGAAUCUGCCUGGUAGUGGGGGAUAACGCUCGGAAACGGACGCUAAUACCGCAUACGUCCUACGGGAGAAAGCAGGGGACCUUCGGGCCUUGCGCUAUCAGAUGAGCCUAGGUCGGAUUAGCUAGUUGGUGGGGUAAUGGCUCACCAAGGCGACGAUCCGUAACUGGUCUGAGAGGAUGAUCAGUCACACUGGAACUGAGACACGGUCCAGACUCCGUACGGGAGCAGCAGGUGGGAAUAGUUGG
RNAcentral lists this ribosomal RNA (342 nucleotides) under uncultured soil bacterium. RNAcentral describes it as "bacterial SSU rRNA". It matches the Rfam family "Bacterial small subunit ribosomal RNA", at positions 27 to 368 of the family's 1533-position model. The record is from RNAcentral.